This 2587-nucleotide long non-coding RNA is filed under the name Nicotiana benthamiana. RNAcentral describes it as "long non-coding RNA (NBEN_LNC008020)". Lineage: Eukaryota; Viridiplantae; Streptophyta; Magnoliopsida; Solanales; Solanaceae. The record is from RNAcentral.
GAAUUAGGAGAUUAUUUGGCCUCCAAGCCUAUACACAUACAUUAAUACUUGUUGUAUAUAAUUGUAUUAUUAUUGAAUAUUGAGAGUAUAUCAUACAAUGGGCUAGAGAACAACAACAACAACAACUACCCAGUAUAUUCCCACCAGGUGGGAGUCUGGGGAGGGCAAUAUGUAGACAAGCGUUUGGGCCUACUAUUACAGAUUCGGGCUCUUAUUUUCGGGUCUUUUAUUUGACCCAUUUGUACAGGAUAUAUAUCUGGUAGAGUCUUCUGGAAGACACCAGAUUUCAUUUUCUCUCUGAAAGUCAAGAGGGUUUUCUCUCAUCUCCUCUCUCUUCUUUCUCGGUUUUCAUCUUCGAUUCACCAUGUUAACAUGGUAUCAGAGCAUGUUUCUUCCUCUCGCACACAGUAUACAUCGGUUUGAUUCUUCGGUUUGGAUUUCUGGUGAUAUCGGAGAUGAUUUUGUGGUUCUCUUGAUUUUUCUUAACCGACUGUAAGAUCGGUGAUGAUCUGUGGGUGAUUUCGUCAAGCGUGGUGUUAGGGUGAUUUUCCGACACCUUCUCUGCUCGAUUUCAUCAACUUUUCUAAGAGUUAGGGCAUUUGUGCAAACUUAGUGACGAUUUCUGGUUAAUCUCCAUUCGAUCAUGGUGUUAGGGUGAGAUUUCCAGAGCGUGGUGUUAGGGUGAUUUUCCGACACCUUCUCUGCUCGAUUUCAUCAACUUUUCUAAGAGUUAGGCAUUCGUGCAAACUCAGUGACGAUUUCUGGUUAAUCUCCAUUCGAGCAUGGUGUUAGGGUGAUUUUCCGAUGCCUUAUGUGCUCGAUUUCAUCAAACUUCCCUUCAAGCUAGGGUUUUCGUGUUGUCUGAAGGCCGUAACUUCUCCGGUAGCGUAGAAGUCUGGUAACCCUAAUUUCUUUUCUCGAGUAGCACUUAUCUGUGCUGUGUUGUUGAAUUAGUUGCUGUAUUGUGUGCCUUAUAGAUAUUGUAUCAUAUUCUAUCAUUUUUGUUGCUUUGUCUCUGUUUGCAAUCAUGGAUCCUGUCAAUCCACCACCUCUUGACCCUACCAGUCCCCUAUAUGUCUACUCUUCUGAUGUACCUGGUGUCUCACUGGUACCCACUCCCUUCUCGGGUAGUGGUUACGGGGGUUGGAAAAGAAAAAUGGUGGUUGCUUUGUCCGCUAAGAAUAAAAUUGGUUUCAUUGACGGAACUUGUCCUAGACCAGACACUAACUUGCCUGAGCAGAAAUUGUGGGAUAGAUGCAAUUAUAUGGUCAUAUCUUGGUUGAGUGCCUCUUUGUCUCCUUCAAUUGCUGAAAGUGUCCAGUAUUCUGAAACUGCACAGAAUAUAUGGACACAACUUGAGGCUAGGUAUGGGACAGCUAGUAGAACAAAAAUUUUUGAGCUGAAAAGAGAACUUUCUCAAUUAUCUCAGGGUUCUCUAGAUAUAGCAUCCUACUUUAAUAAACUCAAAGGAUUAUGGGAUGAGUUAGAUACAAUAUGUCCAAAUCAUGGUCAGAGGUGUAUUUGUGCUGGUAAGACUGGGAUUAUAAAGGAGGAUGAGGAAAACAAAGUGUUUCAGUUCCUCAUGGGUCUGAAUGACUCAUACUUGUGGGUAAGAAGCAAUCUGCUAAUGAUGCAACCCCCUCCUAGCCUUGACAGUGUGUACAACAUUCUUCUCAAUGAUGAAAAACAGAGACAGGUUCAGUUUGUCUCCCAGUUCAAUUCUGAUUCCAUGUCCUUCACUGUCAGCACACAUAAUUCUACUGCACCUAAGCUCAAACAGUUCUCACAGAGGGUAAAUUUUGAUCAGUCUAAAGGGUCUCCUUUCUGCAAAUAUUGCAAGAAGUCUGGACACUUAGUUGAUAAGUGUUACAAACUUCAUGGAUUUCCUCAAGGGAUGAGAUUUGAUAAGGGAAAGAGAUCUCCUGCUGCAACUACUGCUGCCCUUGCCACGUCUUUUCCUUCUUCUGAUGGGGAAAAUUGUCAUAUCUUUGGAUCUCCUGUUGAGAGUCAUGGCUCUGUGAUUCAUGGUUUGAGCAGAGAACAUUAUGAUCAACUGAUGAGCUUAUUGCAACAGUCCAAAUUGGGGGACUCCAAUGCUCAAACUUCAUCUGCUAUGUGUUCUGCCGAUUUUGCUGGUACAUUACUUUCUCAUAGUCCUGUUUCUAAUUCCAAAUUGUGUCUAGCUACCCACAUUAAUUAUGUCUCUUGGAUAAUAGAUUCAGGAGCCUCUGACCACAUGACAUCUAAUAAACAAUUACUCUUCAACAUUACACCAUUACUUGUACCUUAUCUUGUAACCCUUCCUAAUUGUUACAAGGUAAAGGUCACCUCCACUGGCUCUUUUGCCCUAACCUCUUCCAUCAUUCUUCAUAAUGUGCUAUUUGUUCCAUCUUUCAAACAUAAUCUAAUCUCUGUCAGUAAAAUAGUAAAACAGUUACACUGUAUUGUUCUAUUUACUGCCACUUCUUGUUUCCUUCACAUGUUACAGGCCCCUUCUCGGAAGAUGCCUCUGGAUCUUGGUAAGGAAGAGAAUGGUCAGUACAAAUUUGCCUGGCAGCCUCCUUCUUCUAUUUCUGAUACUUGUUCC